RNAcentral lists this ribosomal RNA (253 nucleotides) under uncultured bacterium. RNAcentral describes it as "partial 16S ribosomal RNA". It matches the Rfam family "Bacterial small subunit ribosomal RNA", at positions 524 to 776 of the family's 1533-position model. The record is from RNAcentral.
UACAGAGGGUGCGAGCGUUAAUCGGAAUUACUGGGCGUAAAGAGCACGUAGGUGGCGACGUAAGUCGGGUGUGAAAGCCCCGGGCUCAACCUGGGAAUUGCAUUCGAGACUGCAUUGCUGGAGUACGGAAGAGGAGGGCGGAAUUCCAGGUGUAGCGGUGAAAUGCGUAGAUAUCGGGAGGAACAUCAGUGGCGAAGGCGGCCCUCUGGUCCAGUACUGACACUCAAGUGAGAAAGCGUGGGGAGCAAACAGG